GACGAACGCUGGCGGCGUGCUUAACACAUGCAAGUCGAACGGAUUGAUGGGGGCUUGCCCCCUUAUAUCAGCGGCGGACGGGUGAGUAACACGUGGGCAACCUGCCUGUAAGACUGGGAUAACUUCGGGAAACCGGAGCUAAUACCGGAUAAUCCUUUUCCUCUCAUGAGGGAAAGACGAAAGAUGGCUUCGGCUAUCACUUACAGAUGGGCCCGCGGCGCAUUGACUAGUGGGUGAGGUAACGGCUCACCAAGGCGCCGAUGCGUAGCCGACCUGGGAGGGUGAUCGGCCACACUGGGACUGAGACACGGCCCAGACUCCUACGGGAGGCAGCAGUAGGGAAUCUUCCGCAAUGGACGAAAGUCUGACGGAGCAACGCCGCGUGAGCGAUGAAGGCCUUCGGGUCGUAAAGCUCUGUUGCUAGGGAAGAACAAGUACCGUUCGAAUAGGGCGGUACCUUGACGGUACCUAACCAGAAAGCCACGGCUAACUACGUGCCAGCAGCCGCCGUAA
This 513-nucleotide ribosomal RNA is filed under the name uncultured bacterium. Its description in RNAcentral is "partial 16S ribosomal RNA". It matches the Rfam family "Bacterial small subunit ribosomal RNA", at positions 28 to 523 of the family's 1533-position model. The record is from RNAcentral.